AGAGUUUGAUCCUGGCUCAGAACGUACGCUGGCGGCACGCCUAACACAUGCAAGUCGAACGAAGUAGCAAUACUUAGUGGCAGACGGGUGAGUAACAUGUAGGUAUCUGCCCUUUGGCCUGGAAUAACACGAGGAAACUUGUGCUAAUACCGGAUAAGUCUUUACGGAGAAAGCUUUAUGCACCAUUGGAUGAGCCUGCACUUGAUUAGUUUGUUGGUGGGGUAAUGGCCUACCAAGACUGUGAUCAAUAGCUGAUUUGAGAGGAUGAUCAGCCACAUUGGGACUGAGACACGGCCCAAACUCCUACGGGAGGCAGCAGUGGGGAAUCUUGCACAAUGGAGGAAACUCUGAUGCAGCGAUGCCGCGUGAGUGAAGAAGGCCCUUGGGUUGUAAAGCUCUUUCGUCGGGGAAGAAAAUGACUGUACCCGAAUAAGAAGGUCCGGCUAACUUCGUGCCAGCAGCCGCGGUAAUACGAAGGGACCUAGCGUAGUUCGGAAUUACUGGGCUUAAAGAGUUCGUAGGUGGUUGAAAAAGUUGGUGGUGAAAUCCCAGAGCUUAACUCUGGAACUGCCAUCAAAACUUUUCAGCUAGAGUAUGAUAGAGGAAAGCAGAAUUUCUAGUGUAGAGGUGAAAUUCGUAGAUAUUAGAAAGAAUACCAAUUGCGAAGGCAGCUUUCUGGAUCAUUACUGACACUGAGGAACGAAAGCAUGGGUAGCGAAGAGGAUUAGAUACCCUCGUAGUCCAUGCCGUAAACGAUGUGUGUUAGACGUUGGAAAUUUAUUUUCAGUGUCGCAGGGAAACCGAUAAACACACCGCCUGGGGAGUACGACCGCAAGGUUAAAACUCAAAUGAAUUGACGGGGACCCGCACAAGUAGUGGAGCAUGUGGUUUAAUUCGAAGAUACGCGCAGAACCUUACCAACACUUGACAUGUUCGUCGCGACUCUAAGAGAUUAGAGUUUUCGGUUCGGCCGGACGAAACACAGGUGCUGCAUGGCUGUCGUCAGCUCGUGUCGUGAGAUGUUGGGUUAAGUCCCGCAACGAGCGCAACCCUCACUUUUAGUUGCCAUCAUUAAGUUGGGCACUCUGAAAGAACUGCCAGUGAUAAGCUGGAGGAAGGUGGGGAUGACGUCAAGUCCUCAUGGCCCUUACGUGUUGGGCUACACACGUGCUACAAUGG
This 1179-nucleotide ribosomal RNA is filed under the name uncultured bacterium. Its description in RNAcentral is "bacterial SSU rRNA". It matches the Rfam family "Bacterial small subunit ribosomal RNA", at positions 8 to 1233 of the family's 1533-position model. The record is from RNAcentral.